RNAcentral lists this small RNA (125 nucleotides) under Marmota monax (woodchuck). Lineage: Eukaryota; Metazoa; Chordata; Mammalia; Rodentia; Sciuridae. The record is from RNAcentral.
ACCAGGCGCGGUGGCGCACACCUGUAAUCCCAGCGGCUCAGGAGGCUGAGGCAGGGGGAUCGUGAGUUCAAAGCCAGCCUCAGCAAAAGCGAGGCACUAAGCAACUCAGGGAGACCCUGUCUCUA